Molecule: RNA transcript, 2100 nt
Organism: Lycium barbarum (goji berry)
Lineage: Eukaryota; Viridiplantae; Streptophyta; Magnoliopsida; Solanales; Solanaceae
Gene name: N-terminal acetyltransferase B complex catalytic subunit NAA20-like
Exons: 7
Source: RefSeq, a predicted model, not a curated record
UUAAUCAUCAUUCGUUUUUCAUACCCAAAUGUCAAAUUUGUUUUAAUGGGGAUACGUUCUUUGAAUACUUGUCCAUGGUAUUUUUGUGUUUCAAAAGUAAAUCUGAGCAUGAUAAAAGAUGGGUUCUUGUUGCCACGAAUGCUUAUGUGUGAAUGUAUAAAUAGUUGGUGAUUGCUACGUACUAUUUGUUAAUGGAAUUUGACGAUACCCUUUUCGGUUGAAGACCUAAUUUAAGCGAAUCUAUGGUUGACCAGUUUAAGAACCUACCUUUAUGUUUUUUUCUUUUAUUAUUUAGUAUAAAAUUAUACAUGGAAUUUGGUGAAGGAAAGCUGGUAUGGGAAACCAUUGUAAAUAAAAAUAAUGGUUUGUGUUGAGUAAAGAAGAGCUCAUUUUUUGUUCAAUCCUCAAUGGGUUCCUGUCUGGCAAAAUUUUGAAAGAAAAUUCCCUUUCUUCACCGAUGCAUGCAUGCAAAAGCAAGUUCAUGGUUUGUAAUCUCUGAAAUUUCUAUCACUUUUGUUGUUUUAUUGUUAGAAUUUCUGAGAUUUUGGCUGAUUCAGUUUUCGUGAUUGUUAAUUUUAAGCUUUUAUGCUCGGUUAGAUUGUAGUGUUUGCCGGUUUAGAAGAGUCACAACAUGUCAAGUAGCUGUUGUUGUCGUUUGUCAAGAAGACGAGCCACUACUAGAAAGAGAUGUGCUUUAGUGUUAGUGCGUAUUGCAACCAAAGGGGGGUUGCUCAUUAUUUAGGAAAGCUUUGAGCUAUUGAAUUUCUUGCACUAAUUGUCUGCUGUAAGUGGGAAUGAGGUUGAUUUAAAUUAGAUUUGCUGACUAAGUUGGUUUUGCAGUGAAGCUAAUUAGUGAACACAAAUCAAGCCAACUUGAUAAGAUCAAUCGAGAUCCUGUAUCUAGUGAGAUGUUGAAGAUGCAGCAACAACUAGAGUAUUUGCAGGCAGAACUCUGUGGCCGUGGGGAGGUGCUUCAUCUGAUGAAAUUCAGGUACUCAAGGAUAGGAUUUCAUGGCUUGAAGCUAGUAAUGAGGAGCUAAGUAGAGAAUUGCAUGAGUACCGCAGAAGAGGCUCAGUAUUCUGAUUUGGAACCAGUCUCUGUAAUGCCAGGUGAUUCAAGAGAUAUGGAUGACGAAGCAGCAAAAGAGUGGGAACAUACCCUCCUGCAAGACUCAAUGGACAGAGAGUUGAACGAGCUAAAUCGGCGCUUAGAGCAGAAGGAGGCCUUGAUGAUGAUCACCAGAAAAAGAUUGAAGCUUGGCAUUAUUUGCUAAUUGUUUUUUGGUUUCUGAGCGAAAAUCAGCAUCAUUAGCUAAUUGCUUUUUGGUUUCUGAGUGAAAAUGGCCUUGUGGUUCACAAGAUUGGAAGGCUAGGCUGAACAUACCACCACCUAAUACUCGAUACAAAACAGAGCUUGGUUAUAUAAUUUAUAGGCGAGUCGUACGUUAUUACUCUGGAAAGGAGGAUGGGAUGGAUGUGAGAAAGGCUUUACCCCGAGGCGUUCAAAAGAAGUCUUAUCAUUCCCCUUAAACAACCAGUUACUCAUGAUCAAUUGGAGUAUCACCAAUUCAGUUUCGACGUAAUCUUGUCCUGGAAUUUAUUGCAGGAUGUCUUUUCAAGAAGCCGAGGUUAAGGUAUAUGACCAGUGUAUUCGUGAAUGCUUAUUGAUUAUGUAUUGAUACCAGGAAAAUGUAGAGAUUUUUUUUUUUUUUUUUAAAGACUGAAUAUUUUUGCCACGGUUGAACCGUGGGUAAUUCUUUUUUUUUUCUUUCAAAACUGUAUAUAUUUGCCACGGUUGAACCGUGGCUAAUGUUAUAUGCUGAAUUAGUUCCGCGGUCAAAUUAGCCAUGAAUAACCGUGGCUAAAUGAACACAAAACCGUGGCUAACGAAAUGUUACCACGGACGAUAAAGUCGUGGGUAAUUUCCUCGCGACGCCCUUGAUGGGCACGGUGUUAACCGUGGCUAAGACUAGUUAGCCACGAUGUUGGUACCAUUUAGCCACGUUAUUGACCGUGGCUAAAAUGCGUGUUUUUGGUAGUGAGUAGUCUAGCUUAAUGUUAAGCCAAGUGACGUAAUAUGAACAAGCCACUUGGCAACAA